AGAUUUAUAAGAAGACUUAGCUGAAGAAUUCCCACUGCUCUCAGUCAAGUUCCUCCCACCUAAUAUAACUGCUCUACUCCAGCGCAUUAUAGCUAACUUUAAGAAGCUAUACACCAAGGAACUAUUCAUGAAGUGCUUCCAGACGGUCUCAGAUACAGAUUUCUUUAAUCCUUAAAGAGUUAUGUAAGGAACAUUAAAACAUCCUUUCUUAUGUGAGAUUACUUGAGAGAUCCUGGGCCAACAUUUCUCUAAAGACACUGAGAUUGGCUCAACUGAAAGUGUGGCCUAAAAUUAUACAGGAGAGAGACUCUGAAGGCUAUAUAGAGGAGCCUGAGUCUUCAAUUGACCAUGUGGUUGAUCACAUUGUCACUAUAACAGAGACCAUAGGCUUGCAGGUAGACAAUAGUGAUGUUGAGGAACUGGUGGAGGAACACUCAGAGGAAUUGUUUUCAGAGGAACUUCAACAACUUCUGGCUGAGCAACAGAGAAUGACAUCUGAGGAGCUUUUUGACAAGGAGGGGGAGUAUCAACAAUCAGUGCAUCAAAGUUCUUCUUCCGAAAUAAAGGAAAUCCUGAAAAAAAAAUGGAAAACAGCUACAGACAUUUGUAUGGGAGACUGACCCAGACAGAAAAAAGCCAAUCUUUGCAUUCACUUGCUUAAUGACAAUGUCAUUUCAUACUACAGAACAGGGUUAAAGACAGAAACAAACAACCUUAGGCCAGUUUUUACUUCUGAAAAGGUUGAAACCUAGUGAGCCAGAAAUGGGUCCUAGUGGGAUACAAACUCUCCUAAGGAGAGAAAGGACACCAAAGAGCCAGAUUCCUGAUGUUCUUAUAGAAGGGGCCUCUCCUUCCACACAACAGCCACCUUCCAUUCAUCCUCCCUUCCCUCAAGCCAAAGAUGUCAACUUGAAUGUUCUGAAGGUUGGGGAGUCUAAAAUCAAGGUGCUGACAGGUUUGGCAGAUGAAGAUUGCUCAGAGCUUUCAAGAUUGCUCUCAUGUCUGCAACCAAAACCACCAGAGGGAAAGUAUACUACAUCCUCACAUAGCAGAAUGUGGAAGAGCAAGCUAAUGAACACUACUUAUGGUCUUCUUUGUAAAGAGUCCCAAUCCAUUCACUAGCUAGGAGCCCAAAUGACCCAAUCACCAGUUAAAGAUCCCACCUCUCAAUGCCAUCACAAUGACAACACUUGAAUUUUUGAAGGGACACAUUAAAACCAUAGCAAGCAUUAACUUGUUCUUGAGGGCGUGUACCCUUCACUGCCACACAGUGUGGAUAGAGAGGGAAAAGAAAGAGGGGGAAAAAGGGGAUAGCUUCACCUAAGAAUGCUUUUGAUGAAAUAGUACUGAUUUUUUAUUGUACCAUCAACUUAUGAGUUUAUGUUUUUAUUAUAUUCUAGUUGAUAAAAUAAGAAAUAUACAUAAAGCACAUUGUCACACGAUGUAAAGCUUUGUUGUUUGCACAAUUAUUUGUGAUGCACGUUUACGUAACCACUUUUUCCAUGGAACACCAUUUUUACUAAAGAGAACAACUAAUAGACAAGCUAUCAUCACGCAAAUUGGUUAGGUGGCAAAUAUUUUCUUGAAAAGUUCACAAAAUGAGCCCAUCACUUCAAGAAAAAGAAAUCACAGAAAUUUAUGCUAAUGAUAAUAUUCAAGAUUUCAAAGGGGAAUUAGAAUUUUGGGAGACUCAGCUCAACUAUUGUGAUCUUGACAGCUUCCUAAUACAAGCUUUUUUGAUGAAAUUGGUGAUGAUAUUAGUGAUUGUGAUUUUUUAAAUUUAAUAAAAUGUGUCAAUGCCU
Long non-coding RNA from Heterocephalus glaber (naked mole-rat), 1802 nucleotides. The record is from Ensembl. Lineage: Eukaryota; Metazoa; Chordata; Mammalia; Rodentia; Bathyergidae.